RNAcentral lists this ribosomal RNA (438 nucleotides) under Erwinia sp. AE_84. RNAcentral's name for it is "bacterial SSU rRNA". It matches the Rfam family "Bacterial small subunit ribosomal RNA", at positions 18 to 454 of the family's 1533-position model. The record is from RNAcentral. Lineage: Bacteria; Pseudomonadati; Pseudomonadota; Gammaproteobacteria; Enterobacterales; Erwiniaceae.
UCUGGCUCAGAUUGAACGCUGGCGGCAGGCCUAACACAUGCAAGUCGAACGGUAGCACAGAGAGCUUGCUCUCGGGUGACGAGUGGCGGACGGGUGAGUAAUGUCUGGGAAACUGCCCGAUGGAGGGGGAUAACUACUGGAAACGGUAGCUAAUACCGCAUAACGUCUUCGGACCAAAGUGGGGGACCUUCGGGCCUCACACCAUCGGAUGUGCCCAGAUGGGAUUAGCUAGUAGGUGGGGUAAUGGCUCACCUAGGCGACGAUCCCUAGCUGGUCUGAGAGGAUGACCAGCCACACUGGAACUGAGACACGGUCCAGACUCCUACGGGAGGCAGCAGUGGGGAAUAUUGCACAAUGGGCGCAAGCCUGAUGCAGCCAUGCCGCGUGUAUGAAGAAGGCCUUCGGGUUGUAAAGUACUUUCAGCGGGGAGGAAGGCGA